UAAUACGUAGGGAGCAAGCGUUGUCCGGAAUCAUUGGGCGUAAAGCGCGCGUAGGUGGCCCUGUAAGUCCGCUCUGAAAGUCGAAGGCUCAACCUUCGAAAGCGGGUGGAUACUGCAGGGCUAGAGUCCGGAAGAGGCGAGUGGAAUUCCUGGUGUAGCGGUGGAAUGCGCAGAUAUCAGGAGGAACACCAACGGCGAAGGCAGCUCGCUGGGAC
This 215-nucleotide ribosomal RNA is filed under the name uncultured bacterium. RNAcentral describes it as "partial 16S ribosomal RNA". It matches the Rfam family "Bacterial small subunit ribosomal RNA", at positions 521 to 735 of the family's 1533-position model. The record is from RNAcentral.